This 345-nucleotide ribosomal RNA is filed under the name Ototyphlonemertes macintoshi. Its description in RNAcentral is "partial 16S ribosomal RNA". It matches the Rfam family "Bacterial large subunit ribosomal RNA", at positions 1854 to 2511 of the family's 2925-position model. Lineage: Eukaryota; Metazoa; Nemertea; Enopla; Monostilifera; Ototyphlonemertidae. The record is from RNAcentral.
GUUCUGCUCGGUGAUUUUUAACAGCCGCGGUACUUUGACCGUGCAAAGGUAGCAUAAUCACUUGCCUCGUAAUUGGGGGCUGGAAUGAAUGAAUAAACAAAGGCUUAACUUUAUUUUUUAGAUUAAAGGAAUUUUCUUUUUUAGUGAAGAAGCUAAAAUAWGUAAAAGGGACAAGAAGACCCUUUUGAGCUUUACUAUAUUUUUCUUUUUUAGGAUUCUUUAGKUUGGUUGGGGCGACCAAGGAAAUAGAUCUUCCUUAUUAAUUKUGAUCCGUUUAUAACGAUUAAAAGAAUAAGUUACCAAAGGGAUAACAGCGUAAUUUUUUUUGAGAGUUAUUAUUAAAUA